This 644-nucleotide small RNA is filed under the name Pongo abelii (Sumatran orangutan). RNAcentral's name for it is "retained intron". Lineage: Eukaryota; Metazoa; Chordata; Mammalia; Primates; Hominidae. The record is from RNAcentral.
GGUGCAGCAAUGCCGGGUCUACCGCGGGGGUAAGUGGCCUCAUGGAGCAGUGGGUGUGCCAGACCAAGAAGGCAUCUCAGAUGCAGACUUUGUUCUUUACGUUGGUGCUCUGGCCACUGAGAGAUGCAGCCAUGAAAACAUCAUCUCUUAUGCAGCCUAUUGUCAGCAGGAAGCAAACAUGGACAGGCCAAUAGCAGGAUAUGCUAACCUGUGUCCAAAUAUGAUCUCUACCCAGCCUCAGGAGUUUGUUGGGAUGCUGUCCACAGUGAAACAUGAGGUUAUUCAUGCCCUGGGUUUCUCUGCUGGGCUGUUUGCAUUCUACCAUGAUAAAGAUGGAAAUCCUCUCACUUCAAGAUUUGCAGAUGGCCUCCCACCUUUUAAUUAUAGUCUGGGAUUAUAUCAAUGGAGUGAUAAAGUAGUUCGAAAAGUGGAGAGAUUAUGGGAUGUUCGAGAUAAUAAGAUAGUUCGUCACACUGUGUAUCUCCUGGUAACGCCUCGUGUUGUUGAGGAAGCACGAAAACAUUUUGAUUGUCCAGUUCUAGAGGGAAUGGAACUUGAAAAUCAAGGUGGUAUGGGCACUGAGCUCAACCAUUGGGAAAAAAGGUUAUUAGAGAAUGAAGCGAUGACUGGUUCUCACACUCAGA